Molecule: ribosomal RNA, 253 nt
Filed under: uncultured bacterium
Lineage: Bacteria
Description: partial 16S ribosomal RNA
Rfam family: Bacterial small subunit ribosomal RNA
Source: RNAcentral
UACGUAGGGGGCAAGCGUUGUCCGGAAUUAUUGGGCGUAAAGCGCGUGUAGGCGGCUCGGUAAGUCUGCUGUGAAAGUCCAGGGCUCAACCCUGGAAUGCCGGUGGAUACUGUCGAGCUCGAGUCCGGAAGAGGAGAGUGGAAUUCCUGGUGUAGCGGUGAAAUGCGCAGAUAUCAGGAAGAACACCGGUGGCGAAGGCGGGUCUCUGGGCCGAUACUGACGCUGAGGAGCGAAAGCGUGGGGGGCGAACAGG